Molecule: non-coding RNA, 25 nt
Filed under: Mus musculus (house mouse)
Lineage: Eukaryota; Metazoa; Chordata; Mammalia; Rodentia; Muridae
Source: RNAcentral
AGGCCGAAUUGUGACUUCCACUUCC